GGAGAGAUGUCCGAGUGGCCGAUGGUGCAAUCUUGGAAAGGUUGUGUGGGAGCAAUUCCACCGUGGGUUCGAAUCCCACUCUCUCCG
This 87-nucleotide transfer RNA is filed under the name Candidatus Melainabacteria bacterium. RNAcentral's name for it is "tRNA-Ser". It matches the Rfam family "tRNA". From Rfam's summary of the family: Transfer RNA (tRNA) molecules are approximately 80 nucleotides in length. Their secondary structure includes four short double-helical elements and three loops (D, anti-codon, and T loops). Further hydrogen bonds mediate the characteristic L-shaped molecular structure. tRNAs have two regions of fundamental functional importance: the anti-codon, which is responsible for specific mRNA codon recognition, and the 3' end, to which the tRNAs corresponding amino acid is attached (by aminoacyl-tRNA synthetases). tRNAs cope with the degeneracy of the genetic code in two manners: having more than one tRNA (with a specific anti-codon) for a particular amino acid; and 'wobble' base-pairing, i.e. permitting non-standard base-pairing at the 3rd anti-codon position. Lineage: Bacteria; Bacillati; Candidatus Melainabacteria. The record is from RNAcentral.